Molecule: ribosomal RNA, 118 nt
Filed under: Desulfofustis sp. PB-SRB1
Lineage: Bacteria; Pseudomonadati; Thermodesulfobacteriota; Desulfobulbia; Desulfobulbales; Desulfocapsaceae
Source: RNAcentral
UUCGGUGCCACAGCGGGAGAGGCCCCACCCGUUCCCAUCCCGAACACGGUCGUUAAGCUCUCCAGCGCCGAUGGUACCUGCGCGGGCAACUGCGUGGGAGAGUAGGUCGCCGCCGAAU